RNAcentral lists this unclassified non-coding RNA (369 nucleotides) under Hevea brasiliensis (rubber tree). Lineage: Eukaryota; Viridiplantae; Streptophyta; Magnoliopsida; Malpighiales; Euphorbiaceae. The record is from RNAcentral.
CAGCGAAACAAAAAAAAAAAUCUAGUUAUUAGUUACAUUCUCAAUUUAGAACAAAAUACUUAACAAAAAUCACUAGGAACACUUUUCUAAGUAAUUGUUAAAUUGCAUUCUUGCAGCUUCCAAAAAAUAUCUGAUAAACGUAAAGUUACUAUAGAAAAUCAUACACACUGUUUCUGCAUCUUAUUUAAUACCCCAUGGAAGUAGUGAUAAAAUUUUAACAUGCAGACACGGUAUCAGGUGGUAAUAUUUGACAUAAAUCUAGAAUUCUGGACUACACAAUAGCAUCACCAAGAAUCCUACAUAAAAUAUAUCAACCAUCUUCUCGUUCCCAUAGAAUGGCAUGCUGAUUGAGGAAACAAUUUGGAUUUG